This 899-nucleotide ribosomal RNA is filed under the name uncultured bacterium. Its description in RNAcentral is "bacterial SSU rRNA". It matches the Rfam family "Bacterial small subunit ribosomal RNA", at positions 8 to 916 of the family's 1533-position model. The record is from RNAcentral.
AGAGUUUGAUCCUGGCUCAGGAUGAACGCUGGCGGCGUGCCUAAUACAUGCAAGUCGAACGAGGUGCUUUUGUCGAUUUACGAGAGUAUUCUAGUGGCGAACGGGUGAGUAACGCGUUGGUGACCUACCCCAAAGUGUGGGAUAACAGUCCGAAAGGAUUGCUAAUACCGCAUGUGGUCUUCGGAUUUAGAAACUGAUGACUAAAGGAGCAAUUCGCUUUGGGAGGGACCUGCGUCCCAUCAGCUAGUUGGUGAGGUAAUGGCUCACCAAGGCGACGACGGGUAGGGGACCUGAGAGGGUGGCCCCCCACAAUGGAACUGAAACACGGUCCAUACACCUACGGGUGGCAGCAGUAGGGAAUAUUGCUCAAUGGGCGAAAGCCUGAAGCAGCAACGCCGCGUGUGCGAUGAAGGCCUUCGGGUCGUAAAGCACUUUUCUGAGAGAUGAGAAAGGACAGUAUCUCAGGAAUAAGUCUCGGCUAACUACGUGCCAGCAGCCGCGGUAAAACGUAGGAGGCAAGCGUUAUCCGGAUUCACUGGGCGUAAAGCGCGUGCAGGCGGUGCGGUAAGUUGGGCGUGAAAUCUCCCGGCUCAACUGGGAUAGGUCGUCCAAUACUACCGUACUUGAGAGCAGAAGAGGAAGAUGGAAUUCCCGGUGUAGUGGUGAAAUGCGUAGAUAUCGGGAGGAACACCAGUGGCGAAGGCGAUCUUCUGGUCUGUUUCUGACACUCAGACGCGACAGCUAGGGUAGUAAACGGGAUUAGAGACCCCGGUAAUCCUAGCCGUAAACGAUGUGAACUUGGCGUUGGUGGGUUAAACUCCAUCAGUGCCGAAGCAAACGCGAUAAGUUCACCGCCUGGGGACUACGGCCGCAAGGUUAAAACUCAAAGGAAUUGACGG